GAUGAACGCUAGCGGGAGGCCUAAUACAUGCAAGUCGAACGGUAACAGGGUAGCAAUAUCGCUGACGAGUGGCGCACGGGUGAGUAACACGUACACAAUCUGCCUUAUACUGGCGCAUACCCCCAAGAAAUUGGGACUAAUUCUCCAUAACAUAUUGAAAAGGCAUCUUUUUAAUAUUAAAACUCCGGAGGUAUAAGAUGAGUGUGCGUCUGAUUAGCUAGUUGGUAAGGUAACGGCUUACCAAGGCAACGAUCAGUAACUGGUCUGAGAGGAUGAUCAGUCACACGGACACUGAGACACGGGUCCGACUCCUACGGGAGGCAGCAGUAGGGAAUAUUGGACAAUGGGCGCAAGCCUGAUCCAGCCAUCCCGCGUGAAGGAUUAAGGCCCUUUGGGUUGUAAACUUCUUUUUUGGGGGAAUAAAAACCGGUGUUCACACUGGCUUGAAGGUACCCCAAGAAUAAGCACCGGCUAACUCCGUGCCAGCAGCCGCGGUAA
Molecule: ribosomal RNA, 498 nt
Filed under: uncultured bacterium
Lineage: Bacteria
Description: partial 16S ribosomal RNA
Rfam family: Bacterial small subunit ribosomal RNA
Source: RNAcentral